UACUCCCCAGGCGGGGUACUUAUUGCGUUAACUCCGGCACAGAAGGGGUCGAUACCUCCUACACCUAGUACCCAUCGUUUACGGCCAGGAUUACCGGGGUAUCUAAUCCCGUUCACUCCCCUGGCUUUCGCGCCUCAGCGUCAGACACAGUCCAGAAAGUCGCCUUCGCCACUGGUGUUCCUCCUAAUAUCUACGCAUUUCACCGCUACACUAGGAAUUCCACUUUCCUCUCCUGCACUCAAGAAAUGUAGUUUCCAUCCCAUCACGGGGUUGAGCCCCGAACUUUUAAGACAGACUUACAUUCCCGCCUGCGCGCGCUUUACGCCCAAUAAUUCCGGACAACGCUUGCCACCUACGUAUUACCGCGGCUGCUGGCACGUAGUUAGCCGUGGCUUCCUCCUCAGGUACCGUCAUUACUUAACAUUAUUCACAUUAAGCACAUUCGUCCCUGAAGACAGAGCUUUACGAUCCGAAAACCUUCUUCACUCACGCGGCGUUGCUCCGUCAGACUUUCGUCCA
This 519-nucleotide ribosomal RNA is filed under the name uncultured bacterium. RNAcentral describes it as "partial 16S rRNA". The record is from RNAcentral.